AAAGAAACUGAUAGUCCAGUGAAGACUUAUGACCAUCUAUUACAGUCCCCAGGUGGAGCUCUAUUAUUUUUGUGGUUUUUGGCAUGACCAAUAGGAGGUAUUAACCAGUGAGUCUGUGUAUAGUGGAUGGGAAUGUGUUCACUUGUGUGCAUUUCCCCAGAAGAUAUGUUCCCACGUUCACAGCACAACACAAAUGGCAAUUUUCUAAAAAUAAAAAUCCCACAUCCCUGCACACUUAAUAUAAAUCAAUUUAUUCAGCCAUCUCCCCAGCAGAAUCUGAAAGUUAGUUUAAUGUCACCAAUUCUUAGAUGGACAUGAUUUAGGGAUGAGUGAUCAGACUCUUGACCCUGUAAGUAGAAUAGGCACAUGUGAACCCAGGCACUGGUCCCAGUGGUGAUACUCUGGGCUACAAAAUUGUAUUCAUAAUUCAGCUAUGGAAUAACUUAAGUCACCAGGCUAGGGAGUUCAGCACAUCUGUUUGGCUCUGGAAGGAUUAUAUUUACAGAGGUCCCAAACAUUGUCAAUCAUUAUGUGAUCCCUAUAGUCGAGUAACCUAGAGUGCAUUAGGUACAUUUAACAUCAGACUUUGGUACUGACAAUAAUGCAAAGGACACAUAGCCCACCAUUUACCAGGGUUCUGGUAAAUUCACAUAUUUUGACAGGUGUGAGGCACCUAGUAGGAUAGUCAAGGUUCACACCUGCUAGUGCUGGGGUUCUUGCUGUCUGUGAACAAGAAUCAAGAAGUUAUUCUGUAGUAUUUAAUAAUAUGACUACCACUAGCUUUAGAAAUGCUCAACCUCAUUAGUACACAAAAUCAAGGGAUAGUGACAAAUAAGAACUAAACUACAACUUAGAUGUUAGCCUUGGUUUAUCACCCUUGUUGCAAAUCUCCCUUCCAGCUGGGUUAGGGUGUCAGCACUCACCACUGCUGAACUCCAUCAUGAACUGACCCACUAUUCCAGGACUAGUGUGAGUGUGAGCAGCAAGUGACACAGUGGAUAUGCAUCUUGUGUAGAAAAGGCAGAAAGGGCCACGUAUGGUAUAUACACCUCUAAUCCCAUCUGCUCUGGAGGUUGAGGCAGGACUGACCACAAUUUUGAGGCCAGUCUGGGCAACCUAGUGAUAACCACUCUCAAGAGUGCUAGGGGUGUAGCUUAGUGCUAGAGUGCUUGCCUAGCAUGCAAAAGGCCUUGGGUUUGAUCCCAAAUAAUGGAAAGAAAGGAAGGAAAAAGAUUUAGGGAGGGAUCAGUAGUGGUUAUUUUUAAAUGGUAAGAUUUUAAUGUUUUAAAAUCUUUAGUGACAAAUUAUUUUUUAUAAAAAUUAGAAAGUAAAUGUAGUAGAAUAUUUUGUCUAUAAUUGAAUCCAGUCUGCCAAACAAUGUUGCUAUUAAUAAAGUAAAAAACCUUUUAAAGAGACAAUAUUCAUAGUAGCAGCAUUUGUGCAUCCAGGGGUAAAAUGUGAUCUUGGAAGAUAUCAAGAAGAUUAUGACCAUUUAGCUCUGCAUCUGAAUGGGCAAGAAGAGGCCUGGGACUCAAUUAUUGAAACACAGCAUGGACUUUAGUGUUUAUUUCCUUUUUAGACUAUUUCACAUCAAUUAGUUUGAUUUUGGCUUGAAAGCCAAAGGCUCUGUUUCUCAUCUCUUUCCUGUUCCAUUCCUUUGACUUUCACGCUUGCCGUGCAUCCAUAUCAAGUAAUGCCCCUCAAUAAUUCAUGAGCAGAAACAACCAGAUACUGACAAUUACUCUUUGUCUUCUUAGUUUCCUCUGAGGACUUGUUGGAAUCACUUGCAAGUGACAGCAACGACAAGGAGGACCCACUGAAUGUCCUGGUAAGGUCUCAUUGUCUUCGUUUGAAAUGGAAGUAUUGUCUUCUUGGUUUCUUUCUACUGAAAAUCUGAAGAUGCAUAGUUUAGAUGAUAUAUACAGUUUCCUUGGUGAAGAGUCUAUUAGCAACUGAUACCAGAUUCAAGACAAUUUUUAAAAAUCACAUGAUCAUUUUAAAGUGUAUAGUUGAAAGCAUUUUCCUCAGCAACUCCCUGGAAAAUAAUUUUGUAAUUUCCAACCACAAGAGACUUUAGAUAUACGUCACCCGGGAAGAUGUGAUGUCCUGGCGAAAGUAGGUUUGAUCUGUCCUUGCCUUUGGGUUCUUCUGACUUGACCUGCUUUCCAUCUGUUUUCCUAAUGUCACAAAAUGAAGAAGAGAAUCAGGAUGGACUGUCAACAUUAGUGAUCCUUUCUCUGUAAUUACAGGUGGAUGCAAGAGGAACUGAAAAUGGUAUGCACUGUGGAAUCACUCACUUGCUGAUGAAUUGUCUAGAUGAUGAGGAAGGUGGAACUGUCUUGCUAACUUUCAUGUGGACAGCCGCCCUGAUUCCAACUGUCUGCCAUGGAUAAGGACUGGGGUAUGGUGGUAGGAACUGAUUUUCCAGUUGAACUGAUGGCCAUUCUUCAUUUCCUCUGAAAGCAACUUGUUCCCUUUAGGUGGUAUGAGGAUAUGUGUUUAGGGAAGCAGUGUGUCUGUGUGUGCAUUUGUGUGAUAUUAUUCUGAUUGUGCCUGUGUGUGGGUUUUUGUGUGUUUUACUAAAUAUUUAUUCCCUUAGUCACCAGUGUGAAUGUUCUCAAUAAAAAUGCUAUCUUUAUUGCAGCAUGAUUAUAAAUAGAUAUAAAUUAAUCAAAUUAUACACUCUAAAUGUGUGCAAUUUACUGCAUGUCAAGUAUACCUCAAUUAACAUGGAAAAUAUCACAUCAAAACCCAGGACAAUGUUCCCAGGAUACAAAGGGGACAAAGAUGUGUUUCAUAAUCCCUGUUAAUGAGCUAGUAGCAACUUCAUUUUAUAAUGAAUCACCUGUCAGCAGGCCUCUAUACUUGUUCUUGGCAUUUGAUUAGUCAUAAUUCUUUAUUCUUGACAAUUUUUUUAUACAUAACCCUUUUCUCAAAAAGACCUUAGAAUUAAUUUAUCCAACCCAGUUUGAACAUGGAGUGCUGGGCAGGGUAUUUCCUUUGUAAUGAAACCCUGAUACAACCACAGUUCUAGUAGAAAUCUAACAGAAAGAGCCUGAAGGCAGAGUUGGGGAAAUUCACUCCAAAUUUCUCCAUGGAGGUCUAAUAAUUGAUAAUGUUACUAAGAGUAGCACAUGCCUUUUGUAUGUGAAAAAUCUGUCUCCCCUCAUUUACUCUGGUCAUGGUUUUGUUGCACUAGACAGAAAUACUGUAAAAUGUAUGGUGAAAAAGAGGUUUGCUUGAGGUACUGAGCAUCAGGUUGAGCUUCCUUUCUAGAAUGACUAAGGGGAAGUCAUUCACUGCAAGGUGGAGAGAGAUAAAUGCAGCCAAGGAAAAGAAUCUCCAUCAUAUCUCCUUGGUUGUUUCUGAGAUCUUUACAAUGAAACAAGGUCAACAUAGUUCUAAGACUAAAUGAAUAUAAAAUAAGCCAAGCAAUGAUUUGAGUUUACUUUGGCAACAUUUUUUUUUGUGGAAAAUAUUGAAUUUUAAUAAAAUUUGAUCACCCUAUAGGUGUGAAUAUUUUCCCCAUAAAAACAAGAUGAGGGUAAUUUUGUCUCAAGUCCAUGGUUUCUGAGGGUAACUAAGUGAAAUUUGUAAAUAUUAGAGUCUUAUAUAUUUACAAGUUUCUAAUAUUUACAAAUUUCACUUAGUUACCCUCAGACUCUAAUAUUUACAAAUUUCACUUAGUUACCCUCAGAAACCAUGGACUUGAGACAAAAUUAUCCUAGAAAUCUUGAAUUUCUAGGUGAUAGCUCACUAAUAAUUCUGCUGUGUGUGAUUAGAGAUAGAAACCAGUGUUACCACCCCUUGGGCUCCAUGAAUUUAUGGAGAGCUGUCCAGUGGAUUCCAUGAGAGAGAGAAGAAGGGCAGAGCAUAGUAUAGACCUUAUGAAGGACAAUAGUUACCAGGCUGGAGGAAGACAUAAAGGAAUCCAUCUCCUGGGAUGAAGGUGGAUGCCAAGGUUGCAGGUCUACAGAAUCAGGCUAAUAUCAUUAUCUGAGCAAGUCAUACAAUUAGGCCCUUCCUGAGUGGGAAUGAGCAAGAUGUUACUCUUACAUGUGACAUAAGCAUUGCACAAUUGUCUCUUAAAAGCCAGGAGAGAGAAGCCUUCUUCAUGUGCAUGUCUUUUCUAUCUCCCUGUGUGAUAGUAAUGACUAUAAUGAUGACAGUUAUACCCACAGAAAAUAGUGAGAGUUAGAGAAAAAGAGUCAGGUGCCCACAUCUCUGGUCCAAACUGGCAGGAAUUAAGUUUAUAGCGAUGGACUUCAGGGUUGGUCCUAAGACUGAAAUUCCAUAUGCUGGGACAGAAGUCCACCUUUUAUUGCUUCUCAAAGUUUUCAGACAAUCAGUUCUCAUGGAGAGAGUGCUGGCUAAGGAUUGUCUGGCCCAGAAAACAUAUUUAAACUGUGUUUGGUCAGUGCAGUUGUAGCACAUUCUAAUGGCAGUGUGGGGGUGGGAUUCAUGGGCUCUACUAUAAGGUAGCUGCUUCCUUGUAUGGUUCAGAGGACAUCAAUUUGAAAGUGUCUCUGACAUAUCCUAAAAUUGCCAGCCUUAGAUUCUGUCUAUGUCCUCCUUUCAUGGGUAGGGGGUCUUGGCCCUGGGCAGUCACUACAUGGGCAGGACCCAUAUACUCUUCAUUCCUUCUCAUUCCUGAGCUUAGUCCUGGUCAGCUUGUCUUAGUUCCAUGAGUAUCUGAUUAAAAUACCCUGGGCUAGGAUCUUCCUCAGGUGGGAAAAGUCUCCUCUUUAAUUCUUCUGUCCUGUUGUGCCCCACCCCAAGGCAGGUGGAUGUUCAGGCUCUGACCCAGGCUCAGGAGGAUAAAGGUAGGCUCCUGAAGACAACAUUGUUUCCCCUGCCUCUUAGCUCUUACUGGGCUCAUCACUUCCGGAUAGGUUUUCCUGGGCACUAUUGGGAAUCCACAUGGGCCUGGACUUUAGCCUCAUUGUUUUAGCAUCUCCAGGAACUCAUAAAAUACUGGCCCUUGUGCAUGUUCUCGGAGUGCACUUGUUAAUGAAUAAUUGGAUCAGGCUAGCAAACUACUCUUAAAGGGAAUGCCAAGGGAAGGGAGGUUUUGUCUUCCCCAUCUUUGGACUUUAGGUCAUUGCCAUUCAAUGUAUAAGUCCUCCAUGGUUGCUACCUAUAUUUAAUUUAAUUUAACUAAAUGAAAUCAAACAUUUGGAACCUCAAGAGAAUAUUCCAACCUCUUGUGGGCAGUUGCUUUCUGAGCCUGGCCUGGGGUCUGUCCAUUGAACUCAUAAAUCUCAAUGCAUAUGCAGCAAAGUUGAAAAUUCAGGUUUGUAUGUUUGGAAGUUAGAAUCAUAAUGGGUUAGUGGAAGUGAGAAGUUGAAAGAUAAUUUAUUCAGCUCCUCUAUUUCCCUUGAAGGUUUGCAACUGAUUGCAAUGUCUUGAUGAAGGCCUCCAAGUCUGUAGAGCCCAGAGCGCAACUUACCACCCAGAGGAAAGAGCUGUGAGAUGUUAUGUGAGCCUGCAUAUCCUCAACUGGUAUAGGGAGCACCAAGUUCAAAUAACUCAUUGUUUAUAUUUGUGUUUCUAAAGAUUUGCUUGUAGAGAAUAUCAGUGACUCCAUAAUGAAAAGGAAGACUCUCCAGGUAUGUAACAAUACUAUAGGUUGGACCCAAUCAGAGCCAGUAUUUGGGAACAAUUGGUUUACACUUGUUGCUUUGGAGCCAGGGGAAGGGGGCAUGAAAUCACAAACAAUGAAAAAACAAAAAGGAAAAAUAAGAAAAAAAAUAUGAUAUAUUUAUUUUACCAUUUAAUGACAUAGUAGUAAGAAACUUUGUGUUCAUGGGUUUUGUUACACAGCAUUGUGUUUGUGACUACAUUUAUUGUCCUAGUGUCCCAGGAAAUGGAUACCCAUUCCAUAACUUCUCCUACUCCUGUCAGGCCAAACCUCCCAUAGCUGCUUUAACUAGGAGAGGCUGUAAGAACUGGUAGAUCCAACAUGUGCAUGAAUUCUGAGGGUGCUACUCAUUGUGUCAUUUGUGAAAUGCCACCAAGUUGUACAACCUCUCAUUCUCUGGUAACCAGCUAUGCCUGCCCAACCCACUAAAGCCAUCAGGGAGCAUGGCCAGUGAAUCACUAGGUAUGGGGAGACAUUGGAAAGCUGUCCUGACCUUGUGUGGUUCAAGCCUCCUGGAAGAAUGUGGGAUGGAGAGUGGCUCCUGCUCAUGCAGGAAGGACAGCCCUCUUGGUUCAGCUUUGAGUGCUAUAGGCACUUAGCAAGUCGUGGUAUCUGGGAUCACUACAGGACCCAAGAACAGGUGGGAUUUCAUCAUGCCUCUGGGGACCUCAUCUUCUGUGGAGCCUUGUGGGGGCCUGGGUUCACUUCAUGGCACUAUUUCUCUGAGGUUUGAAGGGUUUUGGAUAUAGAGAUGAACGGUAAAAAUUUUUGUACGUUUGUCAAAUUUGAACAAAGCAAGCACCUGAAGCAAUGCAAUGCAUUGCUCAUAUGAGUGAGUUAAAAGAGCCAGAUCAUAAGUUGUUUACCUUGAUUUUAUGUAUUUUCUGAUUUUAUAAUUUAAUAACAAAUAUAAUAAAUUUUAUCACUCUUUAAAAAAGUAUUGUCCUCAGUAACCAUUUUCCCACGGGAACAUUUUGAAAUAAUGAGAUAUAUAUUAAACCACAGCAAAGGAUAUUUAAAAAAAACAAGUUUGAUGAGGGUGUAAAUAAGAAAUUUUACAGUGUUAGGGGAAAAUAAUAAAGAAUUCCAGGAAUUAAUAAAGAAUUCCAUGUGGGUCACGUGAUGUAUCCUGGGAUUUCAUGGAUGUAGGGACAUAGUUUCGCCUUCCCCCUGAGUUAUCAGAUCUCUUGCUCCUCAGGUGGCCCAGGUGUUUGGGACUAGUUUUUUCCAUUCCAGGGUCAUAGAAACUACUCUUUCCUCUGCCUCAAGUUCACUGUCCAUGGGAGCAGCCCCUGAAGGCUGUAUACACAGGUGUAUGCACAGGAGAAUUUCCUCCUGAAGGACAGUUGUAGACAUUGGGCCCACAGACAAUACCCUCAGCAGAGGACAGCAAACAGGUCUCAGUGCUCCCUGACCUGAACCCCUGGGAAGGUCAGAUCCCAGGGUCACGUUUCAGGGCCUGAGAAGCGUUCUAUUCCUGUAUUCCUCCCCCGCAGUGAGACCCUACUUUUUCUCUGUGUCUCCCCGUGACCUUGUACCUGUUUCUGUUUUGCAGAUUCCUGUAUGGACACCUGGGGGCUGGGAGGAUCUGGAGCUUCCUGAGUAAUGGGAAGCACGAAUGAAGCAUUAAGGUCAAAGUACAGGAGCAAUUUCCUGCUUGUUCUCUCCAUAGUUUAAAUUAGAUGCAGUUUAUUUUAACUUGUAUAGUCUAAAUGUUAAUUUUGAAAAUGAGUGCAAUAUUUAAUAUUGAUGUUUUAUGCUAAAUAACAGACACUUGCUACCAAUUGAUUUUAAAGAUUUUUUCCAUAAAAUAAAAAUGUAUCAUAGAAAAACACCUCUGUA
This 7483-nucleotide long non-coding RNA is filed under the name Marmota monax (woodchuck). The stretch from base 1151 to 1206 matches the Rfam family "tRNA", at positions 8 to 63 of the family's 71-position model. The record is from RNAcentral. Lineage: Eukaryota; Metazoa; Chordata; Mammalia; Rodentia; Sciuridae.